AGGCUUAACACAUGCAAGUCGAGCGGGCGAGGUUGCUUCGGUAACUGAGCUAGCGGCGGACGGGUGAGUAAUGCUUAGGAAUCUGCCUAUUAGUGGGGGACAACAUUCCGAAAGGAAUGCUAAUACCGCAUACGCCCUACGGGGGAAAGCAGGGGAUCUUCGGACCUUGCGCUAAUAGAUGAGCCUAAGUCAGAUUAGCUAGUUGGUGGGGUAAAGGCCUACCAAGGCGACGAUCUGUAGCGGGUCUGAGAGGAUGAUCCGCCACACUGGGACUGAGACACGGCCCAGACUCCUACGGGAGGCAGCAGUGGGGAAUAUUGGACAAUGGGCGCAAGCCUGAUCCAGCCAUGCCGCGUGUGUGAAGAAGGCCUUUUGGUUGUAAAGCACUUUAAGCGAGGAGGAGGCUACUUGGAUUAAUACUCUAGGAUAGUGGACGUUACUCGCAGAAUAAGCACCGGCUAACUCUGUGCCAGCAGCCGCGGUAAUACAGAGGGUGCGAGCGUUAAUCGGAUUUACUGGGCGUAAAGCGUGCGUAGGCGGCUUCUUAAGUCGGAUGUGAAAUCCCUGAGCUUAACUUAGGAAUUGCAUUCGAUACUGGGAAGCUAGAGUAUGGGAGAGGAUGGUAGAAUUCCAGGUGUAGCGGUGAAAUGCGUAGAGAUCUGGAGGAAUACCGAUGGCGAAGGCAGCCAUCUGGCCUAAUACUGACGCUGAGGUACGAAAGCAUGGGGAGCAAACAGGAUUAGAUACCCUGGUAGUCCAUGCCGUAAACGAUGUCUACUAGCCGUUGGGGCCUUUGAGGCUUUAGUGGCG
Molecule: ribosomal RNA, 810 nt
Filed under: uncultured organism
Description: SSU rRNA
Rfam family: Bacterial small subunit ribosomal RNA
Source: RNAcentral